Molecule: ribosomal RNA, 454 nt
Filed under: uncultured bacterium
Lineage: Bacteria
Description: partial 16S ribosomal RNA
Rfam family: Bacterial small subunit ribosomal RNA
Source: RNAcentral
GAUGAACGCUGACAGAAUGCUUAACACAUGCAAGUCAACUUGAACUUCGGUUUGGGUGGCGGACGGGUGAGUAACGCGUAAAGAACUUGCCUCACAGCUAGGGACAACAUUUGGAAACGAAUGCUAAUACCUGAUAUUAUGAUUAUAUGGCAUCGUAUAAUUAUGAAAGCUAUAUGCGCUGUGAGAGAGCUUUGCGUCCCAUUAGCUAGUUGGAGAGGUAACAGCUCACCAAGGCGAUGAUGGGUAGCCGGCCUGAGAGGGUGAUCGGCCACAAGGGGACUGAGACACGGCCCUUACUCCUACGGGGGGCAGCAGUGGGGAAUAUUGGACAAUGGACCGAGAGUCUGAUCCAGCAAUUCUGUGUGCACGAUGAAGUUUUUCGGAAUGUAAAGUGCUUUCAGUUGGGAAGAAAAAAAUGACGGUACCAACAGAAGAAGUGACGGCCAAAUACGUG